UUUGAACCUUUCAGGUGGCGUCAGCGAGUUAAACGAGGAUCGAGAAGCUAGGACUUGCAUCUUGAGGGUAGGACAGGAUAGCGGCUAGGACCUGCAUCUUGAGGAUAGAAGGAGGUGUUGGAGAUAAUGAUGUCGACAGUGGCGCUGACGCUGACGGUGGCGUCAGCGAGUUUAACGAGGAUCGAGAAGCUAGGACUUGCAUCUUGAGGAUAGGAUAGGAUAGCGGCUAGGACUUGCAUCUUGAGGAUAGGAUAGGAUAGGAUAGCGGCUAGGACUUGCAUCUUGAGGAUAGAAGGAGGCGUCGGGAGAUAAUGAUGACGACAAUGGCGCUGACGCUGACGGUAAGUAAUAACAUUAAUAUUAAUAACAUUAGUAAAUUCUUUAUGUAGACUUAUUUGAACCUUUCAGGUGGCGUCAGCGAGUUAAACGAGGAUCGAGAAGCUAGGACUUGCAUCUUGAGGGUAGGACAGGAUAGCGGCUAGGACCUGCAUCUUGAGGAUAGAAGGAGGUGUUGGAGAUAAUGAUGUCGACAGUGGCGCUGACGCUGACGACAUAUCAACUACUGAACAAUCUGAACCAAAAUGCAAGUUUAAAAGCUGCGUGUAGCUUCUGAAUUCAUUUAUUUCCAAUCUGCAACCAAGAUAGGCAAAGGGAGGUGGCGUCAGCGAGUUUAACGAGGAUCGAGAAGCUAGGACUUGCAUCUUGAGGAUAGGAUAGGAUAGCGGCUAGGACUUGCAUCUUGAGGAUAGAAGGAGGUGUCGGGAGACAAUGAUGACGACAAUGGCGCUGACGCUGACGGUAAGUAAUAACAUUAAUAUUAAUAACAUUAGUAAAGUAUUACGCCCGACGUAU
Mercenaria mercenaria is the source of this 852-nucleotide long non-coding RNA. RefSeq lists it as uncharacterized. The record is from RefSeq and is a predicted model, not a curated record. The transcript is spliced from 4 exons. Lineage: Eukaryota; Metazoa; Mollusca; Bivalvia; Venerida; Veneridae.